GGCUUGGGUUGGUUUUGACAGCAAGGUAAAUGGUCAAGUAAGCAUGCAGUUACAGGUAACAAAUAACUUUAAACUUGGUUACACAAAAAUUAAUUGGCGAAAAUACUUACGCUCUUGCUGCGUAAUCGAAGGUUUAGUAGAUUACUCUUUAUUCGGCACAAGGUGCUGAAGCAAGACGCUCCAAGAAAAGAUAUACAACCUUUUGUCUUUUCUGUUUUGGGGUGCAUCAGUUAAAAGGUUUAGUCAAAGGGAUGUCUUUAAACUUUGAUGAAUCUUUAAAGACUAAGAAAAGAGAGAAGUUGUUUGUUUAUUGCUCUUUUCCGACAAGUUGAAACAAAAUAAGCAUGUAGAAAUCUUGGGUGUUUCUUGUUUGGACCAGGGUUCGAAUCCCUGCAGGUCCACA
RNAcentral lists this transfer-messenger RNA (403 nucleotides) under bovine gut metagenome. It matches the Rfam family "transfer-messenger RNA". Rfam says of the family: Bacterial tmRNA, also known as 10Sa RNA or SsrA, is named for its dual tRNA and mRNA-like properties. Its role is to liberate the mRNA from a stalled ribosome. The record is from RNAcentral.